Molecule: ribosomal RNA, 266 nt
Filed under: Clostridioides difficile
Lineage: Bacteria; Bacillati; Bacillota; Clostridia; Peptostreptococcales; Peptostreptococcaceae
Description: partial 23S ribosomal RNA
Rfam family: Bacterial large subunit ribosomal RNA
Source: RNAcentral
AUGAAAAUCGGACUUAGUGAUCCGGUGGUUCUGCGUGGAAGGGCCAUCGCUCAACGGAUAAAAGCUACCCUGGGGAUAACAGGCUUAUCUCCCCCAAGAGUCCACAUCGACGGGGAGGUUUGGCACCUCGAUGUCGGCCCAUCACAUCCUGGGGCUGUAGUAGGUCCCAAGGGUUGGGCUGUUCGCCCAUUACAGUGGUACGCGAGCUGGGUUCAGAACGUCGUGAGACAGUUCGGUCCCUAUCCGUCGCAGGCGUAGGCAAUUUG